GAGGCAGCCUUUAGAAGUUUGAUACUGUCCAUCUCUGGCAGUUCAGCGUCCUAGAAUAUGGUCGCAUCCAUGGCCAUGACUGGAGUGACCCAGGUCUUGGUAGGGGAGGUAGUAGGAGAGGCCUUGGAAGUGUAUGAGACGUGGGGAGACACGCCCCCGCUGCAGCCCAACCAUUUGAGGCAGGCUGUCUGCAAGUUCAAGUUUAAGGGCCACUUUUUAUUAUUAUUAUUAUUACAUUUUUUUAUUAUUUUAUUUUAUUUUAUUUUUUUGA
Molecule: long non-coding RNA, 271 nt
Filed under: Homo sapiens (human)
Lineage: Eukaryota; Metazoa; Chordata; Mammalia; Primates; Hominidae
Description: non-protein coding lnc-MYO10-19:1
Source: RNAcentral